AACGAACGCUGGCGGCCUGCCUAACACAUGCAAGUCGAACGAGACCUUCGGGUCUAGUGGCGCACGGGUGCGUAACGCGUGGGAAUCUGCCCUUGGGUUCGGAAUAACAGUUGGAAACGACUGCUAAUACCGGAUGAUGACGUAAGUCCAAAGAUUUAUCGCCCAAGGAUGAGCCCGCGUAGGAUUAGCUAGUUGGUGAGGUAAAGGCUCACCAAGGCGACGAUCCUUAGCUGGUCUGAGAGGAUGAUCAGCCACACUGGGACUGAGACACGGCCCAGACUCCUACGGGAGGCAGCAGUGGGGAAUAUUGGACAAUGGGCGAAAGCCUGAUCCAGCAAUGCCGCGUGAGUGAUGAAGGCCUUAGGGUUGUAAAGCUCUUUUACCCGGGAUGAUAAUGACAGUACCGGGAGAAUAAGCUCCGGCUAACUCCGUG
This 433-nucleotide ribosomal RNA is filed under the name uncultured bacterium. RNAcentral's name for it is "partial 16S ribosomal RNA". It matches the Rfam family "Bacterial small subunit ribosomal RNA", at positions 29 to 507 of the family's 1533-position model. The record is from RNAcentral.